This 84-nucleotide transfer RNA is filed under the name Candidatus Taylorbacteria bacterium RIFCSPHIGHO2_02_FULL_44_36. Its description in RNAcentral is "tRNA-Leu". It matches the Rfam family "tRNA". From Rfam's summary of the family: Transfer RNA (tRNA) molecules are approximately 80 nucleotides in length. Their secondary structure includes four short double-helical elements and three loops (D, anti-codon, and T loops). Further hydrogen bonds mediate the characteristic L-shaped molecular structure. tRNAs have two regions of fundamental functional importance: the anti-codon, which is responsible for specific mRNA codon recognition, and the 3' end, to which the tRNAs corresponding amino acid is attached (by aminoacyl-tRNA synthetases). tRNAs cope with the degeneracy of the genetic code in two manners: having more than one tRNA (with a specific anti-codon) for a particular amino acid; and 'wobble' base-pairing, i.e. permitting non-standard base-pairing at the 3rd anti-codon position. The record is from RNAcentral. Lineage: Bacteria; Candidatus Tayloriibacteriota. RNAcentral also lists the same sequence under 2 other names.
GGGUCAGUGGCGGAACCGGUAUACGCGCGACACUUAAAAUGUCGUCCGCAAAAGCGGGUGUGGGUUCGACUCCCACCUGACCCA